RNAcentral lists this ribosomal RNA (506 nucleotides) under uncultured bacterium. RNAcentral describes it as "partial 16S ribosomal RNA". It matches the Rfam family "Bacterial small subunit ribosomal RNA", at positions 30 to 523 of the family's 1533-position model. The record is from RNAcentral.
AUUGAACGCUGGCGGCAGGCCUAACACAUGCAAGUCGAACGGUAGCACAGAGGAGCUUGCUCCUUGGGUGACGAGUGGCGGACGGGUGAGUAAUGUCUGGGAAACUGCCCGAUGGAGGGGGAUAACUACUGGAAACGGUAGCUAAUACCGCAUAACGUCGCAAGACCAAAGAGGGGGACCUUCGGGCCUCUUGCCAUCGGGUGUGCCCAGAUGGGAUUAGCUAGUAGGUGAGGUAACGGCUCACCUAGGCGACGAUCCCUAGCUGGUCUGAGAGGAUGACCAGCCACACUGGAACUGAGACACGGUCCAGACUCCUACGGGAGGCAGCAGUGGGGAAUAUUGCACAAUGGGCGCAAGCCUGAUGCAGCCAUGCCGCGUGUAUGAAGAAGGCCUUCGGGUUGUAAAGUACUUUCAGCGAGGAGGAAGGCGUUGUGGUUAAUAACCGCAGCGAUUGACGUUACUCGCAGAAGAAGCACCGGCUAACUCCGUGCCAGCCGCCGCGGUAA